GGGGCGCGAAGGGCUGGGUCGGGACGGUGUCUCCCGCUCGGGGGCGGGUUCUGUGGUGCUCUUGACCAAAGGAACAAGACAAGAGCUGCGCCUCACAAAGAUAAGUAUUGAUAGGAUUCAACCAUUAUCAGGAAAGCUAGCCUCUUGGCUACCAAGGGAAAGCCUAUGCAAACCUCCAAGUAGCUUGCUUUGUUGAUUUAAAAAGAUCACUGGUUUUAAAAAGAUCACAUGUUCUUGGGGCCUAGCAGUGCAGUUCGGUGGUCGCUGGCCCCAAUGAAGGAAGAAACAAAGGACAAAUAUCACCCCUGAUAAUUUGGAGGUCUCACGCUGGACAGUGCACAAUCAGCUCCUUGUGAUACUGCAAUAGCAGUCACCCAGGUGCUGAUUGUAGCCAGGAUUGCUCCUGUUGGGGACUUGGUCUCCCUGGCCAGAGCUGGCUCAGCAGAAAGGCAAGAUCUCUGUCCCGCUGUGCCAGCCCCUUCUGCCACCUGUGCUCACAUGGACAGCUGACCGCUGGAGGGUCUCUGUCCAUAGUGAGUUCAAGGCCAGCCUGAAUUACGUAGCGGGACCCUGCCUCGGAAAAAAAAUUCUUUUUUGUCCUGUGAAUUAUGGUAAAAGGUAACUUGAGAUCUGUGUGCUGCGUUUUAGAUGAUGGCACAUAUAUAUGCUUACUACAUUUAGUUUUGUUUGGGGCUGGGUGCUGGCUGUGGUCCCUGUGCCCUAACGUGGACAGGUGUAAGAAUCUAACUUGGUUGGUGGCCCACUCUGCUCUGGGAUGUCUUAGUCCCCUAUGGGGCUGGUUGGGCCCAGCUGCUCCAGGGCGGGCUCAUCAGCACGUCUAGUGGAGUGAUAGAAGUAACUUGACAUUCCUGUCACAUUUUGCAGGUGUCUACAGGGUUCCUCCCUAGGAAGUCGUCCCACAGUGCUUAGUGGGCUUCCCCAAGGCUCAAGCACCUUUCUAGUUAUUUAUGGGAGAUGGAACCCAGGCCCUAGUGCGUGCCAUGCAAGUGCUCUACCACUGAGCUAAACUCGUCCCCUCUUUUCAAAUUUUGAUAGUCUUGCUAUGCUGCCCAGGUGGCCUAGAUCUUUAUCCUCCUCUCUCAGCCUUCUGAAUACUGGGUUUAUGAGCAUGUUCUGCCACACCUGGGUAACAUUUGUUUCUUUAACAUUACAGGAUAAAUUAUCAAUUUAAGAUAAUUUUCAGCCAGACAUAAUGGCAUGUGCAUGGAAUCCCAAGACUCAGGAGGCUGAGGCUGGAGGACACUUGAGCCUGAGUUGAAGAUCAGCUUGGGCAACAGAGCAUGAUUUCAUCUCAGAAUCCAAACUUUUUCAUGAAUUAUUCCCAUACCAGUCUAUUGAUAAUACAUGAACAAUGUAUAAAAACUGGAAAACAAAAAAUAUUUGCACUGUAAAUAUUUAUUGCAAUAUUUUCCAUAUUUUUAUAGAUGAUAACUAAUGGCAUAUAGUGUUCUAAAAUUUUUUGACCUCUAUGUGUACAAGAUUUGAUGAAAAUAAAUAUACCUUAUCUUUAAUUUUAAAGUGUCACUGUAGUGGAUUCAGAAAAUGCACACAGGCUGAUUUGUCAUUCAGUUUUUUUUUACUUGAUAGGACCUGCUGACAACUUUUAGAAUCCUUAAAAGCUUAAGAGACCCUCAGGGAAACAGCCCUGACUUGAGACUUCUGCAGUUAUUUAUUGUAACUCAAGAACAUGAGAACCAAGAGCUUCUGCUCUACACUCCAACCAUGCAUGCCAGGAGGCCUGCACUGUUGUCCAGAAAGUCUCUUCCUUUCCCACAUUCACUUCAAACACUCCUUUGGGUAGAGUCUCCCACAUGAUCCGGCUGGCCAGCUCCUGCACGUGUGAUCAAUUUCCAGCUUCAAAGCUCCCAACAGCCCUCAGCAUACCAGACCAUGCCAACAUGCAAAGCAGGCUCCCUUCAAAUUACUGUUCCGGAUACCAGUAGUCUCUGGACACACCCAGAAAAGGAGUACUUUACUAAUUUUCUAGGCAUUGUCUUAAUCCAACCAGGUUGACACAUAGCAAUUUUUUAAAAGUUAUGUUUAUUUACUAUAUUAUUAGAGCAUUUAUUUGAUACAAAAUAAAAAUUUCCCUGUUUCUCAACCUUUUAUCAUGUAUAAACUUUAAUAUUUCUUCUAAUUUUACUUGCUUUUAAAGAA
Molecule: long non-coding RNA, 2178 nt
Organism: Cavia porcellus (domestic guinea pig)
Lineage: Eukaryota; Metazoa; Chordata; Mammalia; Rodentia; Caviidae
Exons: 4
Source: RefSeq, a predicted model, not a curated record